ACCCUUUGUGUGGUUUUUCAGGCCUGGCCACAGGCAAUUACAAAGGCUUUACCUGGCAGGCCUCACCAGAACGCUGCCCUCCUAACGCCAGAAUGGGGUCACAGCUGUGCAUCGCAGUCUGAAGGAGGAUGCACUCAAGGACCCAGGUCCUCUUUGCUGCUCACAUCCUUCACAUAUUUCCAUCCCAAGCCUAACACCUUCACUCCCAGGUCCUGAGGCUUGGGGUGAGGUCCUCAGAUGCCCCUGCAGAGGCCCCCUUAUGAAGGAAGAAGCGGAAGCCAGGAGGACACUUUCCCUACUCUGGUUUGGUAAGUUUCUGGACUUGAUCUCAAAUAUUAAGAAAUGCCCAUGGAAUGGAAUCUGGGAAUGGAAUGCUCUCAGGCAAGAAACAACUACAGCUGUCCCUCUGUAUCCACAGGGAUUGGUUCCAGGACCUCCCAGGGAUACCAAAAUCCAUGGACGUUCAAGUCCCUUGCAUAAAACAGCAAAGAAUUUGCAUAUGACCUACACACAUCCUCCCAUUUACUUUAAAUCAUCUCUAGAUUACUUAAAAAUACCCAAUAAAUGCUAUGUGAAUAGCUGCCAGCAAGUGGCAAUUCAAGCUUUGCUUUUUGGAAUUUUCUGGAAAAAAAUUUUUUUUUCAGAAUAUCUUUCAUUCACUGUUGGUUGAAUCCAUGGAUGCAGAACCCACAGAUAAGAAAGGUGACUGGAGAGGUCUUUUUCUGUACUCAAUAAAUGGUCUUCAUAUUUCUUAUUUUGUGAUUAUCCCCACUCAUUCAAGAGAAGGAGAAAAAAUCUGCAAGUGUCUAUUUAAAGGAAAAAAUGGUAUGAGAGAGAGGAAGUAAAGAGCAACUUGGCAACGAAUCUACUGUUUUUAAACAAGUCAAUAUUAAACAAACACAUCAAUUUUUACUCUAUUUUUCUCUUUGUAUACAAUUUUCAAUUAAUCUAUACCUGCCUUUCCAAUGUGUUCUUCAAAUGAGCCAUUUCACUAUAAUUUCUGCACUGUUUCAGUAAAUACAUUUGCAUCCUAGCUCUUCUGCAGUGUUGAUUUAAAAUUAAUGACUUGAGAUUACAGUUACUGACAUAAAACCCUUCUCUGUGGGGACAGAAAAGCACAGUAUAAGCAUCUCCCCUCUUUGUCUAUUUCACAGGACAGUUUAAUGCAGAGUUUUAAGGGAUAGAGACAUUGACGCUCCCUGAGCCUCACUGCUCUCCUGAGUUUACUGUGUCACCAUGAAAAGACAUCUGUGUUCUGAUGCUUUUCCUAGAGCCGCACCAAUCCACCCCCUCUCUAUUUUACAGAGCUUGUGAUGCAUGCAUACCAAGACUCUGCAUAUAGAGCAUAAUUAAAACAGGCUUUCCUCCUGGAAGCCAGAAUGUCCUUUCUAUUGCCAGUCCUUAAGACCAGAGGGUGAGGUCUCAGGAUGCUAAUCCCCUUCUGAAGGGUCCAUCUUGCCAUAAUGAAGCCUGAGAAUGCUUAAGAGAUCACCUCCAGUGCACAUCAUUACCAUCUUCAAUACAAGACACUGGAAAUAGGUUUCAGGCAUCCUGUAAGUUUUAAAUAAAUUCCCACAUGAAUUGGAAAUAAAACUUGCCUUUAGACAUGUAGUCAGGAUUUUGACAUAUUCAGUUCAGUUCAGUUCAGUUCAGUCGCUCAGUCAUACCUGACUCUUUGACACCCCAUGAACU
This is a long non-coding RNA of Bos taurus (domestic cattle), 1692 nucleotides long. The record is from Ensembl. Lineage: Eukaryota; Metazoa; Chordata; Mammalia; Artiodactyla; Bovidae.